RNAcentral lists this ribosomal RNA (805 nucleotides) under Enterobacteriaceae bacterium secondary endosymbiont of Mycopsylla fici. RNAcentral describes it as "bacterial LSU rRNA". It matches the Rfam family "Bacterial large subunit ribosomal RNA", at positions 410 to 1207 of the family's 2925-position model. Lineage: Bacteria; Pseudomonadati; Pseudomonadota; Gammaproteobacteria; Enterobacterales; Enterobacteriaceae. The record is from RNAcentral.
GAGUAGGACGGGACACGUGAUAUCUUGUCUGAAUAUUGGGGGACCAUCCUCAAAGGCUAAAUACUCCUAAUUGACCGAUAGUGAACUAGUACCGUGAGGGAAAGGUGAAAAGAACCCCGGAUAGGGGAGUGAAAUAGAACCUGAAACCGUAUACGUACAAGCAGUAGGAGCAAAAAUUUUUAAAUUUUUUUUGUGACUGCGUACCUUUUGUAUAAUGGGUCAGCGACUUAUAUUUUGUAGCAAGGUUAACCUUAUAGGGGAGCCGAAGGGAAACCGAGUCCUAAAUAGGCGUUAAGUUGCAAGAUAUAGACCCGAAACCCGGUGAUCUAGCCAUGGGCAGGUUGAAAAUUAGUUAAUACUAAUUGGAGGACCGAACCGACUAAUGUUGAAAAAUUAGCGGAUGACUUGUGGUUAGGGGUGAAAGGCCAAUCAAACCGGGAGAUAGCUGGUUCUCCCCGAAAGCUAUUUAGGUAGCGCCUUAUGAAUUUAUCUAUGGGGGUAGAGCACUGUUUCGACUAGAGAUCCAUCCCGGAUUAUCAAUUCGAUGCAAACUCCGAAUACCAUAGAAUAUAAUCAUAGGAGACACACGGCGGGUGCUAACGUCCGUCGUGGAAAGGGAAACAACCCAGAUCGCCAGCUAAGGUCCCUAAAUUAUGAUUAAGUGGGAAACGAUGUGAGAAGUCUUAGACAACCAGGAUGUUGGCUUAGAAGCAGCUAUCAUUUAAAGAAAGCGUAAUAGCUCACUGGUCGAGUCAACUUGCGCGGAAGAUUUAACGGGGCUAAAUCAUAUACCGAAGCUGCGACA